RNAcentral lists this ribosomal RNA (156 nucleotides) under Pellionia tsoongii. RNAcentral's name for it is "5.8S ribosomal RNA". The stretch from base 23 to 156 matches the Rfam family "5.8S ribosomal RNA", at positions 1 to 132 of the family's 154-position model. From Rfam's summary of the family: 5.8S ribosomal RNA (5.8S rRNA) is a component of the large subunit of the eukaryotic ribosome. It is transcribed by RNA polymerase I as part of the 45S precursor that also contains 18S and 28S rRNA. The record is from RNAcentral. Lineage: Eukaryota; Viridiplantae; Streptophyta; Magnoliopsida; Rosales; Urticaceae.
CGAAUUCAAUAUAUGUCAAAACGACUCUCGGCAACGGAUAUCUCGGCUCUCGCAUCGAUGAAGAACGUAGCAAAAUGCGAUACGUGGUGUGAAUUGCAGAAUUCCGUGAACCAUCGAGUUUUUGAACGCAAGUUGCGCCCGAAGCCAUUCGGCCUA